This 205-nucleotide ribosomal RNA is filed under the name Paenibacillus polymyxa. Its description in RNAcentral is "partial 23S ribosomal RNA". It matches the Rfam family "Bacterial large subunit ribosomal RNA", at positions 2715 to 2925 of the family's 2925-position model. Lineage: Bacteria; Bacillati; Bacillota; Bacilli; Caryophanales; Paenibacillaceae. The record is from RNAcentral.
UACCAGUUGUUCCGCCAGGAGCACCGCUGGGUAGCUAUGUACGGAAGGGAUAAGCGCUGAAAGCAUCUAAGCGUGAAGCCCCCCUCAAGAUGAGAUUUCCCAGUAUGUAAGACCCCUUGAAGACGACGAGGUAGAUAGGUUGGGGGUGGAAGUGCAGUAAUGCAUGGAGCUGACCAAUACUAAUCGGUCGAGGGCUUAUCCUAAA